CUUUCUUUUUUUCCAGGACAUUGGAGUUCUCAAGGACACACGGACCAGUAGGACUCACAAGGAGAAAAUAAUCCAAGCGACGCUGUAGCAACUGGUGGACGAAGGAGAGCUUCUUUAAUACUCCAGCAGAGCGUUUGACUCCGGGGACAGGACACAAGCUGAAAGACCAACUUCAUUACCGAGCUAUCUGACGCAGCAGCACCCUAACACGCUGCAGGGUCAACGUCACACCUCAGAGACGCUACUUAAUGGAGAGUCAGCUGUCUGAUCGGAUGACACAUGCGCAACAGCUCACAGCAACUUCACCAGCUGACGAGAUGCAGCAGAAGAGAGACUGGAGGAAAGAAACAGAGAUAAGUGGAGUUUCCUGUGAUUUCAAAGGAGGGCUAGGACAUCUGACAUCAAUGAAGACGGAGGCUUCUUGAGUUUCUGAAAAACUUAAGGUGCUGUACUCUGACUUUUUUCUGAUGUCUUCAACAUACUAUACUAUGUCGUUGAUUCUGACAUUUCAAUAGACUGUACUGACGUUAUGGUGCCUUUUUGUUCUUUACUCCCCACCUGAGUGCAAGGACAUCUGCUGGAGGAGUCCAAGGACAUUUGACAUCAAUGGAGACGUCGUCUUCUUGAGUUUCUGGAAAACUUAAGCAGUGCAGCGAGUCCCCCCCGGCUAGCC
Eleginops maclovinus (Patagonian blennie) is the source of this 673-nucleotide long non-coding RNA. RefSeq lists it as uncharacterized. NCBI's taxonomy places the organism in Eukaryota, Metazoa, Chordata, Actinopteri, Perciformes, Eleginopidae. The record is from RefSeq and is a predicted model, not a curated record. The transcript has 4 exons.